CGGAAAACAAGUGAUGUGGAGUAAAACUUAUAAAAGACGACCUCAGUUCGGAUUGAAGGCUGAAAUUCGCCUUCAUGAAGUCGGAAUCGCUAGUAAUGGCAGGUCAGCAUACUGCCGUGAAUACGUUCCCGGGCCUUGUACACACCGCCCGUCACACCAUGAGAGUUGGAGAUACCCGAAGCCUAUGAGCUAACUUUUAGAGGCAGUAGUCGAAGGUAGAAUCAAUGAUUGGGGUGAAGUCGUAACAAGGUAUC
RNAcentral lists this ribosomal RNA (254 nucleotides) under uncultured bacterium. RNAcentral describes it as "partial 16S ribosomal RNA". It matches the Rfam family "Bacterial small subunit ribosomal RNA", at positions 1248 to 1500 of the family's 1533-position model. The record is from RNAcentral.